UGGGGAAUCUUGCGCAAUGCGCGAAAGCGUGACGCAGCAACGCCGCGUGGGGGAAGAAGGCCUUCGGGUUGUAAACCCCUUUCAGUUGGGACGAAGCUUCGGCGGUGAAUAGCCGCCUGGAGUGACGGUACCUUCACAAGAAGCCCCGGCUAACUACGUGCCAGCAGCCGCGGUAAUACGUAGGGGGCUAGCGUUGUCCGGAAUCAUUGGGCGUAAAGAGCGUGUAGGCGGCCCGGUAAGUCCGCUGUGAAAGUCGGGGGCUCAACCCUCGAAUGCCGGUGGAUACUGUCGGGCUAGAGUGCGGAAGAGGCGAGUGGAAUUCCUGGGGUAGCGGUGAAAUGCGCAGAUAUCAGGAGGAACACCAAUUGCGAAGGCAGCUCGCUGGGACGUAACUGACGCUGAGACGCGAAAGCGUGGGGAGCAAACAGG
Molecule: ribosomal RNA, 429 nt
Filed under: Bacillota bacterium
Lineage: Bacteria; Bacillati; Bacillota
Description: Firmicutes bacterium partial 16S ribosomal RNA
Rfam family: Bacterial small subunit ribosomal RNA
Source: RNAcentral